RNAcentral lists this ribosomal RNA (322 nucleotides) under Escherichia coli. RNAcentral's name for it is "bacterial SSU rRNA". It matches the Rfam family "Bacterial small subunit ribosomal RNA", at positions 109 to 436 of the family's 1533-position model. The record is from RNAcentral. Lineage: Bacteria; Pseudomonadati; Pseudomonadota; Gammaproteobacteria; Enterobacterales; Enterobacteriaceae.
AGUAUGUCUGGGAACUGCCUGAUGGAGGGGGGUAACUACUGGAAACGGUAGCUAAUACCGCAUAACGUCGCAAGACCAAAGAGGGGGACCUUCGGGCCUCUUGCCAUCGGAUGUGCCCAGAUGGGAUUAGCUAGUAGGUGGGGUAACGGCUCACCUAGGCGACGAUCCCUAGCUGGUCUGAGAGGAUGACCAGCCACACUGGAACUGAGACACGGUCCAGACUCCUACGGGAGGCAGCAGUGGGGAAUAUUGCACAAUGGGCGCAAGCCUGAUGCAGCCAUGCCGCGUGUAUGAAGAAGGCCUUCGGGUUGUAAAGUACUUU